This 903-nucleotide ribosomal RNA is filed under the name uncultured bacterium. RNAcentral's name for it is "bacterial SSU rRNA". It matches the Rfam family "Bacterial small subunit ribosomal RNA", at positions 8 to 921 of the family's 1533-position model. The record is from RNAcentral.
AGAGUUUGAUCCUGGCUCAGGACGAACGCUGGCGGCGUGCCUAACACAUGCAAGUCGAACGGGACUUAGGGGGCUUGCUCCUUAAGUUUAGUGGCGAACGGGUGAGUAACGCGUGAGAAACCUGCCUCUCAGUGGGGGACAACAGUUGGAAACGACUGCUAAUACCGCAUGAUGUAUUCGAAGGGCAUCCUUUGAAUACCAAAGCUUUAUGUGCUGAGAGAUGGUCUCGCGUCUGAUUAGCUAGUUGGCGGGGUAACGGCCCACCAAGGCGACGAUCAGUAGCCGGUCUGAGAGGAUGAACGGCCACAUUGGGACUGAGAUACGGCCCAGACUCCUACGGGAGGCAGCAGUGGGGAAUAUUGGGCAAUGGGGGAAACCCUGACCCAGCAACGCCGCGUGAAGGAAGAAGGCUUUCGGGUUGUAAACUUCUUUUAGCAGGGACGAAGGACGUGACGGUACCUGCAGAAAAAGCAACGGCUAACUACGUGCCAGCAGCCGCGGUAAUACGUAGGUUGCAAGCGUUGUCCGGAUUUACUGGGUGUAAAGGGCGUGUAGGCGGAGAUGCAAGUUGGGAGUGAAAUCCCGGGGCUCAACCCCGGAACUGCUUUCAAAACUGCAUCCCUUGAGUAUCGGAGAGGCAAGCGGAAUUCCUAGUGUAGCGGUGAAAUGCGUAGAUAUUAGGAGGAACACCAGUGGCGAAGGCGGCUUGCUGGACGACAACUGACGCUGAGGCGCGAAAGCGUGGGGAGCAAACAGGAUUAGAUACCCUGGUAGUCCACGCUGUAAACGAUGAAAUACUAGGUGUGAGAGGACUGACCCCUUCCGUGCCGCAGUUAACACAAUAAGUAUUCCACCUGGGGAGUACGACCGCAAGGUUGAAACUCAAAGGAAUUGACGGGGGCC